GAAAAUGUCCUCCCUUCUUCCACCCAAGUGUCAACGACUUCCCCAAUCCUUCUACAAUAGCCUAACUUUUGGGAAAACUUCUCUUCGUGUUGGUUGGACAGAAAAAGCGGCGGAAAUGAAAAAGGGGGAGGGUGAACAACUAAUCCAGUGUUGUUUACAAAGAGCGGACAGGCGAGGAAUCAGUCCGCGAAGGCGGAGCUGAGGCAGCCGGCACUUCUUCCUGUCUUCCCCUCCCUCCCCAGCCUUCCCCGCGAGCGGACGCGGCAGCGCCUCUGUCUCGCUUUUUCUUAUUUUUCCCCCUUUCCCCUUUCUUUUCUUUUCUUUUUCCCCUUCCCCCCCCUUUCACCAUUUCCCCUCGGAGGCGCUUCCCCCGGGCAGGGGCAGAGCCGGUCUCACCCCCCGCCUCUCCCCGGCCCCCGCCGCCCUAUGGCGAGAGGGAGCCCCCUCCUCACCCAGGCACCAGCGGCGGCGGUUGGAGGAGCGGGACCGGCGGUGGCGGCCUCAGGUCCGGGGUGGUCAUGGAACUAAUUCGCUGACCGACCUUCUGGCCGCAGCCGUGCGUCCCGCUCGAGCGCCAGCUACCGCGCCCCCCCAACCCCGCCGGGUUCCUUCUCUUCUCCCUCCUCUGUCGGCCCGGUCCUAGUCCUGCGCGCCCCCGCCGCUGCGCGAGAGGAAAAUGAGGUGGUAACGGGCCUGCGGAUGACCCCGCGUCACCACUUUGAGGCCUACAGCUCUGCCGGGGAGGAGGAGGAGGAGGAAGAGGAGGAGAAGGUGAGGGGCGGGGGCGGGGGGCUCGACGCGUGUCGGUGACCGCCGCCCGCGCGCUACGCCCCUGUUGCCCAAGCGGAGGCGCCCGGCGGCGCGCUGCUCGCCUGACCUGCCAAGCACGGUCCCCCUCUGGAGGAACCUAGGGACGACCCCUCGCUCUCUCCCCGAAGUAUCCCGGUACCUCCUGGGUUUUGAAACAAUGUGCGGGGUUCCCUUUCGGGCCAGUUUUUCAGUUAGCAAGUAACUUUUUAGUAGUAACAGCACAUUCGCUGCUCGGCCGUUUGAGUUCCAGGCUCCGCACGUCUGUAUCAUUACACAAAGGGGACACACCCCCACCUUCACACUCGACGGAUCUUUUCUCGACUGCCCCUAGAUAACGUGGGUUUCAGAGCCGAGUCAGUGGGGAGGACUGCCAGGACGCAAAUUUGCGAGAGGGAAGCGUUACCCAGGCUUGGGCCGGUGGGGGAGCCCGUAGAGGUGAGAAUUGAGUUGCACCCUGAACUAGGGGUUAAAAGUACCAAAUUUGGAGAAGAGGGCCAAAGGCCCUCUACCGGAGGAAGGGGUCCCGUUGCAGACCAUUUCGGCAAAAAUUGAGAAUUAGGAAGCAAAAUAGUGAAAGCAUAACCCGUCAAGAAGUAGGAUGGAUUCAGACCGAAGGUCUGUCUUUGUCAGGUUAAAGGAUUUCAAUUGUCUUCUGCCACUCAGUGUUUCAUCAGCAUUUGUAGAUGAGACUUAUCUGCCAGGCACUGUUUGUUCUUCAUUCUCACAAAGACUCCACCCAGGUGAUACGAGACUCAUUUUACAGAUGAGAAAAACUGAGACUCCACAAGAUUUGCUUCCUUUUAGAUAACAGCGAGAACCCGCUAGCCAGAGUUUAGUCUGAAUCUUAGGCUCUAACGUCUCCAUCCUGAAAAUGAAUUUGUUGAAAAGAUUAGUAGGAGUCUUAUUUGCUUCUAGUUUUUCCAGGUCAUUUGUGAUAGAAAGGAACAGACAAACUAAGAAAGAAUGGACAGGGUUUAAAUUAGUUAAACUAGGACUAGAAUAAUGAGAAAAGAAUGCCAUUCCCUUGGACCAGGAAAAGUUAAAUACUGAAUGUAAGGAUAGACUAUUAGAAUCAGCAUAGGUUGGGAAGGUAUAAUAGAAAUGAACUGGAGUUAACAGGUAAAUAUUGUAUGUGGUAGUGUGACGUUCUAGUAGGUUUCAGUGGAACUCUUUCAUAUCUUGGUCAAGAUUGGAAGCAAGAUUGUAUGUAUUUUAUUUUGAUUGCAUUUUCUUUCUUUAUUUUUUGGUACUGGGGAUUGAAACCUGGGGUGCUUACCAACUGAGCCACAUCACGGCCUUUUGGGGGGGGGAGUCUAGAAACAGGAUCUUGCUGAAUUGCUUAGGGUCUCCUUAAGUUUUGUUUUGGUACCAGGCAUUGAACUCAGGGGUACUCCACUACUGAGCUACAUCUCCAGCCCUAUUUUGUAUUUUAUUUAGAGACAGGGUCUCACUGAGUUGUUUAACACCUCACCUUUGCUGAGGCUUCACCCAGUUUUUUUUUUUUUUUUUCUUAUUUUAGUUGAACAUGGACAUAGUACCUUUGUUUUACUUAUUUAUUUAUUUUAUGUGGUGCUGAGGAUCGAACCCAGUGCUCCACAUGUGCAAGGCAAGUGCUCUACCACUGAGCCACAACCUCACCUAGUUUUUGAGGCUGGCUUUGAACUUGUGAUCCUGCAUCAGACCCUGCCAUCUGCAGGGUGGGGGGAUGGCCUGGCCAGGCAGGCUGCUUUGGGAUUACAGGCUGUGCCCUGAUUGUGUAAUACUUUUCAAAUGAACUGUAUUUACCAUUCUGUGCAUGCUUGUUCAUCUUUAAAAUGGAUUUAAUAAUUCCAACUUCAUAAAGUAUGAGGAUUACAUGAGUUAAUAUGGCAUAUACUUUGAACAGUAGCUGGCCAAAUAGUAAACACUCAAUGCUUUUACUUGGUAAGCACCUAACAAGUAUAAGCUUAUUAUUUAUUAUGGUACUAAACUUCAGAGUUUUGUUAUCAAGGAACUAAGGGUUGGUAGGAGACAGCCUACCAACCAAUGAAUAAAAUGCAGAAGUAGAAUUGUGCCCAAGUGCCCAUGUAGGAAAGCAGGGUGCGGCUGGGCCAUUCCAGAGGGUACCAUUCACAGACUGAUAGUAAUUUAUGAAGGAGUGUAAGCCUGAGAAGAUGAUUUUUAGUUGAAAGAAUAGUGUAUGCAAAGAGCCCAUUUUGGAAUUAACCUGUGGUUUGUUUCUGCUGUUGUAUAAAGUCAAGGAGGGAGUAUUAGAAUGUGAGAUUCUGUGGGGUCAAGUCUGUCACACUUUUCAGAGGAGGAACUAAGAUUCAGGAGUCAGCAUCAGUAACAGGAUUAGAGUUGGUAUUAUGAUCAUAAACACAAUAAUUAUACAUUAAUGAAGUUGUUUAUAUUAUAUACCCAGUACUGUGCAGCACUUUUCCUCAGAAGAGUAGGUGGUCCUGAGUGUAAUAUUAUUCAUGCUGUUCAAUAAGCAUUUUAUGAAUUAGUAGCUCAGAAAUUAGGCUGUUUGUAAGUGUGGAGAACAGUAUAUAGUAGAAGUAGUUGAGAAUGGGAGGAGGAGGAAUGUAAAAUUCAAAAUUAAUUUUGUGUGGAAUAUAUCUACCCAAAUUCGGAUUGAACAGCCCUGGUUUGAAAAAGCAAAAUGCUUCAAAGUCCAAAAAUUUUUUGUUGCAUGCUGACCUGAGACCACAAAUGGAAAAUUACAUACCUUGAAACUUUGUUUCAUGUGUGAAAUUACUGGAAAAUAUAUAAGAUUACCUUCAGACUAUAUUUAAAAUUAAUUUCCUGUUUUGUCUAGGACCCCAUCCAAAUUCAUUAUGUAUAUCCAAAUAGUCUAGAAUCAAAAAAUAAAAUAAAACACUUUUGGCCCCAAGCAUUUUGUGUAAGGGGUACACAAUUUAUAUGUAACUUAUGUGUACAUAUGUGUAUAUAUAAAUUUAUAUUUGUUUUUAGAGACUAUUCUGCAUGGCACUAAGAAUAGGCAUAUAUAAACAAGAUAUAACUAUAAAGCUCUUAUUAAAAGAACUAAAAUUGUAUUUUAAGUGUAUUUUAUUCCUUAGCAGAAUUCAUUAUUCAUGUGACUUAAAUAAUCUGUUUUGCACAUUUUAAAAUAGGCUGGUACAUUGUCAGUAAAAAUGAAAAAUGAAGCCCAUGGUAUCUCCAUAUCAUGAAUUCUGUCUUAAUAGUAUUAUAAAAGGAAGUGCUAAUUUAAGUAUUUUCAUAAGUUAUGUGCUUUUUUCUUUUUUCUACAGUAUUUGUAAAUAACUUAAAACUUACAUCUUUUGCUCAGAUUUCACCUGUUAACCUUUCAUUUUAUUGUUUUUAUCUCCCCCCAUGUAUAAAUUGUAUACAUUAUGACUUUUUACUUCUAAAAUGAUCAGUGUGUAUUUUCUAGGAAUAGAGAUAUUCUCUUGACAAACCACAGUACAGUUUUUAAUUUCAGUAGAUUUCAAAUUGAUAAGACAAUUUUGUAUAAUCUACUGCCCAUAUUCCACUUAAUGUCAUUUGACCCAUUAAUGAGCCUUAUAGCAUUUGUCUCCCUCCAGUACAAAAUUCAAUUCAGAAUCCAGUCCAGGCUAGGUGUUGCACUUUUAUUUUUCUGUAGCUUCAUUUAAUCUGGAACAUUUCUACAGUUAACCAUUUUUUUUUAAACUUGCAUUUUUUAUGUACCAUUUUUAAAAUUUUUAAGAAAAAUUUUUAACUUUUUUCCCUUUGUUACAUUUUCCUAGUGUGAGCAAAGAAAUAUUAUUUUUCCCCUAUUAAUGUGGUGUAUUAUGUUAAUUGAUUUCUCAUCACUGAGCCAAUAUUGGAUUGUGGGACAAAUCCCUCUUGGUUAUGGUUUAUAAUAAUCCUUUUUAUGUUACAGAAUUCAGUUUGCUGGUAUUUUGUUGAGGAAUUAUGCAUCUUAUUCAGGUGGAGUUUUCUAGUUAUGCUUAUCUAGUUUUGGUAGCAGGGCUUCAUAGAAUUGAGUUGGGAAGAUUUCUUCUAUUUUUGGGGGAAGAGUUCAUAAAAAAAAAAAAUUGGCAUUUUUUUCUGUAAAUGUUUGGUAGAAUUAGCCAGCGAAGCCAUCUGAGCAUGGAUUUUUUUUCUUAGUAGCUUUUCUAUCUUCUAAUGGCUAUUCAGCUCUUAAGUCAGUUUUCGAAGUUUGUUUCUUGGAAUUUGUCCAUUUCUUCUAAGUUGUCCUAAUGUAUUUGUAUAUAGUUGUUGAUGAAAUUCUUCUAUGAUUUUUAUUUCUGUAAGGUAGUGUACAUAGUAAUAUCCUGUUUUAAUUUCUGAUUUAUCUUUUCUUUUUUUUUUUUUUUUUUUUUUUUUUUGUUUUUUUUUUUUAAAUGUUUGCCAUUUUGAUUUUACCAAAGGACCAACUUUCAUUAAUUUCUCUAUAUUUAAUAUUCUCUACUUUAUUAAUUUCUUCUAAUGUAAUUUCUUUGCUUCUGGAUUGCUUUAGCUAUGGUUUUAUUUUUCCAUUAUCUAAAGGUGGGAGGUUAGGCUAUAUUGAUUUGAGAUUUUUUUUUUUUUUUGUAUAACAUAUUUUCAGAUAUUUCCCUCUGAGCACUCCUUUCAUUGCAUCCUAUAAGUUUUCAUAUGUUAUGUUUUCAUUUUCACUUAUCUCAAAAGUGUUUUUUGAUUGGGACUUUUUUCUUUGAUCAGAUUCCAUUGUUUUUAAAAAGUCGUUAGAACAUCUACCUUUUAAAUGUCUUAGGGCCUUCACUAUAGGAGAUCGGAGCCUAGGAAUUCCUUGAGCCCAGUUUUAUUCUUCUGUACAUGUUUCUGUCCCUCUCUGUCCUCAUCUAUACCUCCUGAAAAUAAUUUUCAAAUCAAGCAUUGUAAGGGAAAAGUCCUUAGUGGCAGCUAGUUGUUGGGGUAUGUUUAAAAGGCAGAUCCUGGUGAGCCAUCCUGUUGGGUAUAGCUAAUGGCAUGAAAAAAUUACUUAAAUUUGAGGUUUGACAAGAGUUUAUGAACUACGGACUAAAAUUGGGUUUGGAAGAGAUCUUACAGCUUAUGAAGUCCAAUCUCUAUCCAAUAUUAGUGUCUCUUUUAAAUAUAUCUUGACAGAUGGUUAUCUAGCUUAUACUACAGUUCCAAGGCUAAUACUUCUAUCUGCUUUAGAUGAAAUUAUAGUGAGCCUGCUCAUCAAAUUGUGGAAGAUUUGAGAAAAGCACCAAAGCAAUAAAAUUGGAAUCUUAAACAUCUUGGCAAAAUGCAACAAUGGGUUGAAUCUAACAAGAUGACUUAAAACUAAAAAAUCCUUUUUAAGUCCUGAACAAGUGUAUAUUCCCUUCCACCCAACCCCCAAAUUACCAAAAAGCCAUACAGAGAUGGAGCAGGGAGAGGUGGAAUUGUCCUAAUAGUAUACCUGCAUAAGUCUUAAAAGUUUUAAUUGAUCAUAAAUUUUAUCUGAAUUGGUAGUGUAAAAGUGGUGCUAAUUUAGAAGAGCCAAAAUGUCAUGUGAGGAAUCAUUAAACAGUUUUUCAGCUAUGAAAAAGAUGAGCCAGUGAGCAUGAUAGCAGCCUUCCAACAUCUGAAGGAUUGACUUGAGAAAUUAGAUUUGGGUAUGUUUGUUUUGGUUUUGUUGUAUGCUUUUGUUUUUGCCUCCAGUGGUUGAAACUAGAACCAUUUGUCAAGUCCUUCUUUCUUCAAAAGUACUCUGAGGUGGGUAUAAUAUUUAUAUCAUAGUAUAAAAGAUGAUAAUUGGUAGAUGUGGCUUCAAAAGAACUUAUAAUUUUGUUGGGAGAUAGUGGAAAGCUGCUUUCAAAGGAGAAAGAAAUCACAUCUGAUUAGAGAAUCAAGAAGAGAAUUCUUGGAAGAAAUUAACCUUUGAAUUGAGCCUUUUAGGAUAGGUAUAAUUUCUUUUCCUUUUUUCUUAGUAUGAAAAUGCUUCAUCAUUAUAGAAAAUUUCCCAAAACUCGAGAGUUUAAACAAGCAAACAGAAAAAAUCCAGUUAAAUGGAGGUAGUCUGUAAUAAGUUUAGUGGCAAGGAAAUGGAGUGUGUGAAAUGACUAAUGUAAAAGAUGACAGAUAGUAGCUAGAGUUGGGUAUGUAGAAUGUGGAAGUAAGAGGUUUGCUUUUUGUUCGAACUUUUUAAUUUUAUAAAAAUUUGGAACUUCUCUCAUGUUAAAGAUUUCUAAAAUACGAAUCUGAAGCACAUGAUACAGGUACAUAGUUUUUAAAAAGUCAAAUAAUUACCAGGCUUUUAUAAUGAAAAAUAUCCCUGCAGAAAGUCUUCUUGACCUUUCCUCAUUCUCUGGAGGUUAACUCCUUUCAACCUUUACCUGUUUCUCCUGUUAUUUAAUAUCAUGUUUUCUGAUAACUUGCCCUGCUACUGUUUUUUGAUAUGCCAGUUUAGAUAUUGUUGUUUUUGUGUUUUUGGCACUGGGAAUUGAAUCCAGGGGCACUUUACCACUUAGCUAUAUCUCCAGCCCUUUUCAUUUUGGGACAGGGUGUAAGUUGCUCAGAGCUUUGCUAAAUUGCUGAGGCUGGCCUUGAACUUGUGGUCUUCCUGCCUCAGCCUCUUGAGUUGCUGGGAUCACAGGGGUGUGCCACCAUAGCUCGCAUCCAGUUUCAGAUACAGUUAAUAGAUUUCCUACUAUGAAAUGUAUAAGACUCUCAUUCUAACAUCUCCCAAAAUCCACACUUAAUUACCUAUACCAUACUACAAAACAUUUUAUCAAGUUUGUUAAUUUGUAUUCAAUAUUUUCAUUAUUACUGCUAUGUAAAUAUUAUGGCAUUAAUUAUACUUACUUUAUUAUAUAUUUUUUUCCAAUUUAGAUGAUUUUUUUUCACAUUCUUCAACUUAAUCCAGUUUUAUGUCACAAAACUUUGUAGUUCUCUUUAAAAAAAAAUCUAGAUCAUCACUUUUGGGCUCUCAAUUACAUGGCCAUGUUUUUGCUCUCUAUAAUUGACUUUCAGAUUGAAAUUGAGAACAUUUCAGAUAACUGAUUAUUAGUGUAACAUUUUAAUAUUUAAAAGAGCUGUAAAAUCUAUAUUACCUCGUAACAUUCUUAAUUUGUUUUAUGAGUUACUUAAUAAGUAUCAACAUAUAUAUACAUUUUACACUUAUUCUGUAAUUAAAUAAUAAACAAUAUUUAUAUUUGAUUUUAUAGGUAGCUACAUCAAGCUGGGUGGCAGGCAGAUCCAAAGGAUAUCAUGAAGUUUCCAGGAUCUUUGGAAAACCAGAGAUUGUCUUUCCUAUUGGAAAAGGCAAUCUCUAGGGAAGCCCAGAUGUGGAAGGUGAAUGUGCCGAAAAUAUCUACAAAUCAGGUAAUGACUUCUCUGUUUAGAUAGAUGAGUUUUAUUAGAGAUAAGUACACUAGU
This 8124-nucleotide long non-coding RNA is filed under the name Marmota monax (woodchuck). The record is from RNAcentral. Lineage: Eukaryota; Metazoa; Chordata; Mammalia; Rodentia; Sciuridae.